Monomorium pharaonis (pharaoh ant) is the source of this 9514-nucleotide long non-coding RNA. RefSeq lists it as uncharacterized. The transcript has 2 exons. Lineage: Eukaryota; Metazoa; Arthropoda; Insecta; Hymenoptera; Formicidae. The record is from RefSeq and is a predicted model, not a curated record.
UUAGUGAUGAAAAAUAAUUUUAUGAAGCACGUAUUAAUUAAUAUUUAAUUAAAUUUAUGUUGAUAAUAACUUUAAUUAAAUAUUAAUUAAUGUGUGUGUUUGAUUUCGACAAACGUUAUAAACAAGUACAAAGACAUCUCUAUUCAUAUAGGAUUAUUUUUUAUUUCUACUUUACCUAUCAUUUUAAAAUAUACGUUUAUAUCUUGAAGGUGAUUUGAGUGAUCGUGAUAAUCUAUAAAGAUAUAUUUGUCACAUUAGGGACGAACUCAAAUUGAAAUCGAGCGAUUCUCUCGGGACGAGGUUGCGUGUUUCCAUUAGGAAAUUCGCAUUAGCGUAUGCACGCGUGUCGUGUAGAAACAGGGGUGCACGCAUGUUAUACGCAUAUUAUACGCUCGUACGAGGAGAUCGCAAUGGAUGAUGUGCAGUUUGACGCGAGCUCGGUCGAGUCCAGCCGAAGUGUAACUAGUCCCAAUCGAAUUCUCCCUCUUCGCGUGGAAAGGGAUAUGUCUUUUAGGAAUUUAGCUCCAUUGCCGAAUAGGACUGUACAUUACGCACACCUAACGCAUACGUUGCACCCUGUGAUACCCUGUUGUACCGUUGAUCCUAAGUACACGUGCGGUACAUGUGCAUCGCGUUAUAGGAUCGAAUAUAAUGGGAUAGCUCGAUAUCGUCCGCGAGGAUUAUACCCGGUACACGCGAAUAUUAAGACGAUCAUGAUCACGUCCUGGAAUAAUUGAGUUGCUGCACGCACGCACGGGGAGGGUUUGAUGGAUUCCCGCACCGAUUUCUGUAAGUCGGCAUUACCUCUCUAUGGGAGAUUAUUUUCGUAAUUGGUUAUUAAUCCGCGUAAGUGAAUCUCACAUGGUUGUUAAGGUAAUUACGGUCUCUCUAUCUAUCUAUCUAUCUCUAUCUCUCUCUCUCUCUUUCUUUCUGUCUCUCUCUCAGGAUUGAAUAGACGCAUCAGGACAAUCCUUCGAUUACGGAUGUCCGUAACAAUCGUUGAUGUUUCUCCUAAAAUUACUUAUAUGAUUUGCUAUUGUCUAAUGUACAACAGUAAUUGGUAAUACAAAUUAAUGUAUUAUUAUUAUAUAGUUUAGAAUCUGUUGCAGUCAAUUUCAUGAAUUUCGAAUUUAGUUAUUUUUUAAAUGUGUUAAAUAGUUUUACAGCUAUUAUUUACAUCCUGUAAAGUUCCUAUAUGUUAUUGACGAACCAAAUCUUCUUUUGUUAGGCUAAACAGAUUGAUACUGAGUCAAUUGCGUAAAGAAUCCAAUUAAAUGGAAUUUAAAGUUCUUCCGCUUUAACGUCUGAGUUGACAUACGCAGGCGAACAUUAUUAUUGCGUCACACAUGUCAACGGUAAAAAGUCGCGAUGCUAGCUAUUUUACGGCUUUUUGUCAAAGUCAUCGUUUUCGCGGUCCGGUUACGGUGCAUUGCCGCGCGAUGAAACCGCACGAUGAUGCACUGUUACGAGAACAUUGAAAAAAAGGCGCAAUGUUUUUAGUGAGUUACACGGCACUGGCGGUAGUUACGAGCAAGGUGUUUUACGCGCCGGUCCGUUUAAACUUGCGCUAAUGAAAAUACUGCGCUGUCAGGGCGUCGCAAAUAUUGCGCCGCUAUAAAAUUGCAUAUUGUUAAUUUACAGCAAUGCGGGAGAGGAGGGGAGGGGCUCUCCCUCGGCGCCUCGCGGGAAUUCGCGGGUGUCAUUGUUUCGUAGUGAAUAUAAGCAACGGCGUAAAAACGAUGAAAUAUUUUCCCGUUGCUACCGGCCGGAUAUUAUCAGAUUAUAGAACGAACAGGCGGGCGUUGUGGAAGCCGACCGUGUGUAGCACACGUUUGCUUGCGCAACGUUAAUCGUGAACCCGCACCCGUUUAAAUCCAUUCAACCCUUUUCACGCGCUGCUCGCACAGAUGGGGCAUCUUGAACCGCCGCGGUGGCUUAUAAUGCUUACAUUGAAGACAAUAAUACUGGUAAACAUUAGUAAUGUUAUAUUAUAUCCUAGUCUCGUUACACACAUAACUAAGAAGUUAAUGAAAUCAAGUUGUAAUUCAUGAUUAUAAUACUUAACUGAAUAUUAAUUAGUGAUAAUUAUAAUGUAGAACGUAAUAAUACGACCAGUGUUUACCGCUUCAAAGCGUCAAACGUGGACUGUGCUUUUCCUUCCGCAAUCCAGUCCGCAUGGAAAAAUAGAUAGCGCAACUGUUUGUGUACCUAAUGCUAAAGAGAAAUUGUAAUCUAGCGUACGUGAAUUAGGUUUCGUAAAACAAAGACGAACGAGCUGAAAGCAAACUGUGGAAAAGACAUGUGUAUUUCGGCGGGUUAAAGGGGAUCAACAGGGGGUACUGUGUAAGACUGGCGAGCUUAUUCCGCGACGCGGGGCGAAGUUACGUUUUUCAUUAAACCACCCACUCGCUCACCCCCCCGUCCCGUCGACUCUAAUAUUUCAAUCGAUUUGAAAAGUGCUGGCGCUGCCCGCUCCGCAUCCGUAUAAAUACCCCCGGACGUAUGUACGUGACCGCGAGAGAGGCGUGCGAGACACGUGGCUGGGUCGCACCCUCGUGCGACGCGAUGCGGCGCUAUGGCGCGCGCGUUGAGCCGCGUGCAAUUUGUUGUUUUUAUGAUUUAGAGGGCCGCAUGUACAAUAAUUCAGUCGGCCGGCACCCUCUCUUGCCUGCCGUCCUCUGUCGUCCCUUCUCCCCUCCCGAUCUCACCGGUCGGAGGGUCCUCCAUCACCCAAAUCCGCGGGGAGUCCGCGAGUGCGAGCCGGCGGGGAUACAUCGCCGAUACGCGCGCGUCCGUUAUUAAUUCUCGUCCUCGAUGGCGAGCGGUCGAGAGCAUCCCCUUCGCCCUCAUCGUCGCGCCACCCUUCUCCCUUCGCGCUCAUCUCGUCCCGUCUCUCGGUGUUUUCGCGCUCGCGCACGGAAAUUCGUGCGGCGAUGAAGGCGGCGGCGGCGGCGGCGCCGCGCGGCCAGGGGGAUCGUUAGCGGGGAGCACACACGAGUCGUUGCCGCUAAAAUAUCGUUCCGGUUUCCUUCGUGCCCGGCAACGUAUUGCGAUCCCUGCUUACACGCAGGCGUGCUUGAUUGAUUUAUUGGGUUCUCUGUUUUUGCGGGAUUCCCCGGAAAGCCCGCUCCGCGACUGGCGGGGAACCGAUGCGUAUUAACCCUUCGGUGACGCGCGUUUAAAUCAUCUGGAUUCGAUGGGGCUCCGAUUUUCUUUUCCGAAUCGCCGGGGUGACACCGCGGGAUUUUAUAAGCGCGUCGCUUUCGAGUGAUGGAUGGCCGGCCGCGAUUGUCUCGCGGGAAGCACCAUUUUGAUCAAGUUAGAAGCGAGUCUAAAUCAUUCCCGUGCAAAUCGUCUUGUUAGAAAAUGUACAUUAAGUGAUUGAAGUGAACGGUUUGUGUAUCUCGUUAGCUCGAGGGCGAGCUGCUAGAAAUUACGAUUUAAUACCGAUUUGUCAGCAACGAGCUGAGAUCUGCUGAAAUCGGCGAUUACCGCGCGCGCAGAGGAAACGUCCGAAUUGCGAAUCGGAGGUCGAUCCAGGGUUGUGUGCCGCCCAGCAGAUUUGGGCUUCCGGCCGCGAAACCCUCUCGAGGCAUCGGAUGGUAUGGGCGAAUUGCGAGCACACCGGGUUCGAACAAUGCAGUCUGCGCAGCCAAAUCCGCAAAGUCCUCUCAAUUAUGCGGCGAUGCUAAUUACUCGCGAGUGCACGCUGAAGGAGAGCCUCCACUCCGCACAACGGCUCUUCCUACUCUCUACAGUCUUCCAUUCUCGGCUAAUACUAAAGGGUGAAACGGAAUCAUGGGAAUUUCAUCGGGAAGUGGAGGGACGCAUGCUGCGCCUACCAACGAUCGGAGCACCUCUCUUUCGACGAGGUUUUAAUUAGGAAAGUUUAAGUCAACACUUCUCUACUUAUCGCGAGAAAAUAGAUGUAUACGUUAUGCAUACAUAGACGAUGUUUUGAUAUAAGGUUAGUUAACUGCUCUCUUAUACAGGGUGUUUUGUAACUUCAGAAAUGAAUUCAAGACACAAAAAUAGCAUAAAAUAUUUAUGUACACUAUAAUUCAAUUUUUAUUAUAAUUGAGUCAUAAUUAUAAUACAGAUUCGUCGAGAAGUUUUUUUUUUAGCUGCAUUGCUGCACUUUGAUGAUGCAAUAAAUUGGAACGAGAAAGAAAUACUUGAAUUAUUUAAUUUAUUGCCUCAGUGCAGCAGUGUAGCUAUAAAGAACAAGCCAAUAGAUAAUUUUAUUAAUAUUAUAACAUAGGCGAGAAAUACUAUUUAUAACUUUUAUCAGUAAAUGUUAUGAUUUUAUAAUUUGCAUAUUAUUUUUUAAAUUUUAUUACUUAUUCUAAAUUUUAUUUAAUCUCAGGGAAGUUAAUCGGCAGUGUACAAGGAACAGUAACGUUUGCAAACAUUUACAAGUAAAAAAAUUUGACAUUUUGAAUUAUAUUAUUUGUUGAAAAAUCUCAUGUUCUGCAUGCAAGAUGCUACGACGUCUUAUAUUAUAAAAGAUUGCCAACUAAUUUAGUUAAGUCUAAUUCUUAAAUUUUGAAUAAGUAAUAUAAUUAUGAGCAUAAUAUUCUCUAAUAUAAUUAUUAAAUUAAUAUAUUAUUAAACUGGAUCUCCAUCUAUUUUACGAUUAUUUUUACGUCGUUAUAAAUCAGUGAAAGAACGAUAUUGUGUUGAUACAAUAUGAAAUGUUCACUUUGCCAGUGAACCCCCGCAAAUCGAUACGAUGCUUCCGAGGUAGCUAUUCAGAAAUCGUCCGAGAUAUCUCGUCUACCGGUUGAUGCGUCAUCGGGCGCGGUCGCCGCGUUGUUCUCGCCGGUAAAUGGAAAGCAAACGAGGGGUUUUGGCACAGAGAGGCCGAGCGAUUGGCAAACAUCGGUUUCGACGCGCGACUGACGAGAAAAAUUUUCAAUUAGCCGAUGCACCCGCGGCAUCGCGUAACGUCGCUUCGGCGUCACUCGCCGCCGCCAGCAUGACGAUGCACACCACCGCUCUUCGCGGUCGUACCGAAAAAAAGAGACCGAAAUUAAUUACUUUCGGCGUCAACGACAGAUUCGCAGCUGACGGGACGAUCGAUCGUCACUCGCUUGAUACGAUUAAAUCUCCUCGCCCGUUCUAGGGCGACCCCUUUGCGACGUUAUAACUCUUUUCUCUUCGCCUACGCGUUACGCCGUAAGGGCGUUAAUAACAUUUGACGAGAGAGAGAGAGAGAGAGAAAGAGAGAGAGAGAGAGAGAGAGAGAGAGAGAGAGAGAGAGAGAGAGAGAGAGAGAGAGAGAGAGAGAGAGAGAGAGAGAGAGAGAGAGGAGAAAGAGAGAGACUAUUUGCUGUUUAAAGAACGCUGCGCGAACCGAGUGAGCAAACUUCGCUGAAUAUUCACCGCGCAAAAAGAAUUUAUAUUAGCACUGAGAUACACUGUUGUUCCGUUGAGAUUCGCCAGGAAUUAAACACGUUUGUCGGAUUCCGCGAUAUAUACGUGAAGUACCGCUAUUAACAUAUAUCUGAAAUUUUUACGAGAAAUGAUAAUCCUCCUUAAAAAAAAUGUACAUGGCAAAUCGGUAGACGAACAUAUUUGCAAUGUGUUUCAAUCAUGCGUUGCUUUAUUAUCCGUUUAUAUUCGUGGAAAAAAUCCCGUAGUUAUGAGUACGUAAAUGUGCACUUAAAGGCUUACGGUGUUCAAUCCGCGCAAAAAACUAUUUAUAUUCGUCACUCGCUGGGACGUUUCGAAAAUCAAAAGCUAAAGCGAUUUCUGUUUCGUGCCUGUUUCGUUAGUUACUAUUCGAAUGAAAGAGGCCGUAUUGGAACGAUAGGAGGAAAAGAGAGAAACGACUGCUCUUUGAUAUAAUACCGGAUUGCCGUAAUUCUACCUAGUAUUAAGCGAAGCGUUUUUCGCGCCGCGGUUAAAAAAUUCGCUUCAACAAGAGUGCGAUUACAUCCCGUCACAGACAUGACAAUGGAAUCUCUCGUCUCGCCAAUUACACCUCUUUCCAUUUAUCUUUUUCCCGCUGCUAACGCUCAUCCUUUUUUCCUGCAUAAAUCCUCUGUAAGCUAUUGGAUAUUGUCAAAUAGCUUUCGAAAAGCAAGACGAUACCUCUACCAAAGCUUUAGAUUUUAGAUCCUUGAAGGGCAUUGCAUUUUUAAUAACUAACAAACAACAAAGAGAUUAUUUUCGUGAGAGGGAUGAUUAAUUAAGUGACUUUCGGAAAAUACAACUUCUCAUUUAAGUUAUUGAAAUAAUUGUAUUGAAAUAUAGCGAAAUAUUUAAAUUGGAUGUUAUUAGUGAGGAAACAAUAGAACGUGCCCGACGCGCGAAUGUAGUGUCCUUUCCGCGAGAGAAAAUUAAGUACGCGGAGCAUAAUAAUACUGGUAACAACAAUACUAGUAUUUCGUAUUGCUGAAUUUACCGUUGCGGCGUGGUGCAACGAGUGCUGCAAUAACAGUAUCUUAUUUAGAUAACCAGUCGGGCACUUUAGUAACAGCUCUUCAAUUGCUGCGAGUUUCGCCUUUCUUUGUGUUUCAUGACAUCGUAGCAUACUUAAAAUAUAUUUGGAAAUCCUUGAGAAAUAUACAUUACUAAAUAGCGAAAUUUAAUAUCCUUUUAUUUUCUACUUCUGCGUUUCGUCUUAUCUUUAUUUUAAGGUGAAAUUACAAUGUGAAGAGAAUUUUGUUGUACCAAUUGUUACCAAAGACUGGUAAUAAAUUAAGUAAAAUAGGUAUUUCAAUAAAAAAUUGAAACUUCUUCAUAAAUAAAUUUCAUAUAUGAAAAAUGAUUCUAGGGUUUUCUAGAUGUAAAGUUUUGAAAAAGUUUUGAAAAGAAAAAUAGAAAAAAUAAUGUUUUUCUUAAGGGACUCAACGUUGUCUUAGUCGAACAUAAUGCAAGUUACCUUCAAUUUUGCUUUCUAAAUCUUUUUAAAUAGGUGCUUUUCUUAUGAAAAAAAUAAUUUUCACAAAAUUUUACUUUUCAUAAAAAAGCGUUGACUCCAAACAUGUUAUGGCAUCCGAGUGAACGUGAACUAAGUGUUGUCCACAGAGAAAUUGAUGGCCCGGGGUCGCAUCACACAGAGGUUUCCUCACCAUAAACUUUUUUAGGAGAGGUUAAAAAAAUAAAGAAGAGGAAAUUCUCUCUGAGAAACUUUUACGGGUGGUAAUCGGAACGCGGAAUAUUCAUGGGCCUCAAGAAUUAAAUGUACAAUAUUAUGAAUUUAGAAAGUCGUGGUAUAUCAUAGCAAACAGUUUCUGCGAGUAAUCGUCUUGCAUAUCGUAAGAUCGAUGACCUGACGAGAUCGUUACGAUACGCGAAGCUCAGGAUUACACCAACAUUCAGGAUCGAAUCCUGAUCGUCGGUAUAAUUCCGCGAAUUUCACCGUGAUAUGGUACAUAGAUGGUAGCGACCACACGCCAGCGUCUGUACAGCGACGGAAAUUUCAUUUCCCUCGGAUUUAAUCGACGUCUUUGUUCCUGACUCGCCGACCGUGAGCCCCGUGAAACGCGGCAGCUCGCGGGCGUAAUGUUAAUUUUUCGUUUCUUCCUUCACAUCCGUGGGUAACGGCACUUUGGAAACCGUCGUGCCGCGAAGCGAAGUUGGACGGCGAGUUGACCGCGGUGUAACACAGUCGGCUUCACUGAUUGCCAAUAUGGCAGAGUCCAUAGCGUACAACGCCGCGCCAUUCUAUAUCUGGGAUGGGUCGCGGACCCACAAUGUGCCGCGGGCGUUAAUUUCCUCGUGAAACGUAUUGCGCCCCUGCGAUUCAAUUGUUCCACCCCACGGCGUGCUAUGCCACGAUGGCGCUUGUCCGGAGCUCAUAAUGACGUGCAUCUCUGCUGACCGACCCUCUAUGUCCACGUGUUACGAGAUCGCGAGGAUGUGAACUUUAGGGCUCAUUUUGGAUUCUAUUCGUGUUUAUUCCUACGGAAAAUGAUAGUGGCUUUUUAUCAUCUUGAUUAAUCUUUAUAGAAUCAGCUACUACAGUAACGCUGAAACAAAGUCAUAUUUUGAAGCAAGGAAUACAAUGAAUCAUAAUAAAUUUUACUUAAGAGAAAACUGUAAGAGAGAUUUUAAACGUAGACGCCUCGUGUUCUCCAAGAGUUAAGGGUCUUGAUUACGUCACUCUGAUGCGCAACGUACAUAUUCAUUUUCCCGGUGGGUAGAGGAAUAUUGAUUUAAACUUUGUUAAUUAAAACUGCAUCGAAGGAGAGAUUCUCUAAAUGAUUUUCAUUUGCGCAACGGCUUGCUCGUGUGGAUAUUACCUUUCGUGAUCGACCCUUUAGGGACUAGAUAGCACGAGAGAUGGUGAACAAUCAACGUCGCAGCUGCGAUUUUCGGACUGAAUAAUACCUGAAGGGAAGGGUACACCUCGCGUCGCGGAUUCGCGAGGGAUCGAAACUGCCAGGCCGGUUUUCCCGCCGCAAAUUUACAGCGGCGAAAGCUAUACGAUACCAACAGCAAAUACGUUUCAGCUAGUACAAAUUCUAUGACAGCGACACAGAUUAAACUUUAGGCCUCGGGGUAACUAGCUCGAGGCGAGUUGCCGCGCUAGUUUUCCAGCCCUCUCGCCGCUUCCGUCACCCCCAUCCCCCGUUCCCCACUCCCCACCCCCUCCCGUUCGUCGCGCAAGCAGCGGCGGUGAUUGUUUCUCUCUCGCGGCAGGAAACAAAUCCGCGCGCGAUGACAACGCGACGCACGCUGCACUCCAACGGGGCUUCGUACCGACGGUGUGCCGCACUUGCAACAAAAGCACCCACCGCACAUCGCUCCGCAGAGUGCUGUUUGUCGCUUUCGCGUCGCGUGUUUACGCACUGGCGCACUGUAAUGAAUUCGAGAUGGUCUUCCAACGCGCGCUACUCUCCGGUUUUGUUACACUCCACGCUCCUCUACGUAUUCGAUUAGUCGCGGCAUACCCCAUACAUAUUGGGUCUGGCAUAGUUACAUGUUCGGUUUCUAACGCGUAUGCGCUACGGCACAUUGUUGAUAUUGCAAUAUAUAUAUAUACACUAAUAUAUAUAUCGCGAGAUUGCAUUAUCGUCGGCAAUUCUUCCGUGCACUCGGUAGUUUUCGUCGCGACACGAUACCGUCGAACGUUGCCCGAAUAUUGCCUAUCACCGAUCUCGAAGUAUAAAUAGAGCACAUUCGAAUUUUCGAUGUUCAUGGAUUUAUAGCGUACGAUCAAACAAGGCGACAUGAACCCGUAUUUAAAAUACUCUUUUAAAGCUGUUAGUACUGUUUUUCUGUCACUCUAUUCUUGUCUUACAUCUGAUACACAUUAAAGAUGAAAAAUCGCGGAUAUAACAUCUUUAUAAGCGCAUUCUAAAAACGAAUCAUAAUAGUUAUUCAUAAAGUAAUGAAACGAUUACGUUUGGAAAUAUAAAAAAAUAAUUUUAUCGGUCUAAUCUUGUCAACUGAAGUAUCAAAUAUGGAUAGAAAAAUCCAUUUGUAUCAAAAUAAAUAUUACCAAAGACAUUAAUAAUUCUAAAAAUAGCUUAGAAAUUCACAUCGAACAACGUAGCCGAAG